RNAcentral lists this ribosomal RNA (689 nucleotides) under uncultured bacterium. RNAcentral describes it as "bacterial SSU rRNA". It matches the Rfam family "Bacterial small subunit ribosomal RNA", at positions 68 to 753 of the family's 1533-position model. The record is from RNAcentral.
AGCACGGGUGCUUGCACCUGGUGGCGAGUGGCGAACGGGUGAGUAAUGCGUCGGAACGUACCGAGUAAUGGGGGAUAACGCAGCGAAAGUUGUGCUAAUACCGCAUACGCCCUGAGGGGGAAAGUGGGGGACCGCAAGGCCUCACGUUAUUCGAGCGGCCGACGUCUGAUUAGCUAGUUGGUGGGGUAAAGGCCUACCAAGGCGACGAUCAGUAGCGGGUCUGAGAGGAUGAUCCGCCACACUGGGACUGAGACACGGCCCAGACUCCUACGGGAGGCAGCAGUGGGGAAUUUUGGACAAUGGGGGCAACCCUGAUCCAGCCAUUCCGCGUGAGUGAAGAAGGCCUUCGGGUUGUAAAGCUCUUUCAGCUGGAACGAAACGGUACGCGCUAACAUCGUGUGCUAAUGACGGUACCGGCAGAAGAAGCACCGGCUAACUACGUGCCAGCAGCCGCGGUAAUACGUAGGGUGCGAGCGUUAAUCGGAAUUACUGGGCGUAAAGCGUGCGCAGGCGGAUUGUUAAGCAAGACGUGAAAUCCCCGGGCUUAACCUGGGAAUGGCGUUUUGAACUGGCAGUCUAGAGUGCGUCAGAGGGGGGUGGAAUUCCACGUGUAGCAGUGAAAUGCGUAGAGAUGUGGAGGAACACCGAUGGCGAAGGCAGCCCCCUGGGAUGACACUGACGCUCAUGUA